Long non-coding RNA from Saccostrea echinata, 553 nucleotides. RefSeq lists it as uncharacterized. The record is from RefSeq and is a predicted model, not a curated record. Lineage: Eukaryota; Metazoa; Mollusca; Bivalvia; Ostreida; Ostreidae. The transcript is spliced from 2 exons.
AACAUCCAGUUUUAACCAGAUCAGUUCAGCUGAAGUAACUAAACGUAUGAUUGAAAUGACUCUGUACAAGUCAUGAUGAAAGUCCAAUGGAGGAAAAUGCCAACAUGAAGAGUGGAUAAUUUUGACAGCCAUAGUUAUUUGGUGUUGUGUCAAAAACAAAAUCAAGAAGUGGACGAUACAAGUGCCAAAAUGUCACCCUAUACUCACAAAUACAAAGAAGAGGACGCCAGGUUAAUAUCUGCUGAACUAUCCAGUAAUAGAUCAGACAAUUCUUUGGAGGGAAAACUGCAGAAGAAUGUGUCCUUUAACAAGUUCAAGCCAACAGAUAUUACCAUUUUCAUUGACAAGCAGGAUGAAGUUGUGCCAGCAUUGCACAGCAACAUGACCUUAGAUUCGGAGAAACCGAAAAAUCGAGCACGCCUAAUGUUUAUCAUAACAUUGCUAUUUAUAUUGCUUUUGGUAUGUAUAGUUAUCAUAUCUGCAGUCAGACAAUUUACCAGUGGUGACGAUGAGUCAUUUGACCACACGAAUGAAAAUAUGGUCUAUCAUUAUA